AGAAUCAACGCUGGCGGCGUGCCUAACACAUGCAAGUCGCACGAGAAAGGGGAGCAAUCCCUGAGUAAAGUGGCGCACGGGUGAGUAACACGUGAAUAAUCUACCUCCGAGUGGGGAAUAACUGAGAGAAAUCUUAGCUAAUACCGCAUAACACUUACGAGUCAAAGCAGCAAUGCGCUUGGAGAGGAGUUCGCGGCCGAUUAGUUAGUUGGCGGGGUAAUGGCCCACCAAGACGAUGAUCGGUAUCCGGCCUGAGAGGGGCGCGACGGACGACGACUGGAACUGAAACACGGUCCAGACUCCUACGGGAGGCAGCAGUGGGGAAUUUUGCGCAAUGGGGGGAAACCCUGACGCAGCAACGCCGCGUGGAGGAUGAAGCCCCUUGGGGUGUAAACUCCUUUCGAUCGGGAAGAUAAUGACGGUACCGAUAUAAGAAGCCCGGCUAACUUCGUGCCAGCAGCCGC
Molecule: ribosomal RNA, 464 nt
Filed under: uncultured bacterium
Lineage: Bacteria
Description: SSU rRNA
Rfam family: Bacterial small subunit ribosomal RNA
Source: RNAcentral